RNAcentral lists this ribosomal RNA (253 nucleotides) under uncultured bacterium. RNAcentral describes it as "partial 16S ribosomal RNA". It matches the Rfam family "Bacterial small subunit ribosomal RNA", at positions 524 to 776 of the family's 1533-position model. The record is from RNAcentral.
UACGGAGGGUGCGAGCGUUGUCCGGAAUCACUGGGCGUAAAGGGCGCGUAGGUGGCGCGGCAAGUCAGCGGUGAAAGCCCCCGGCUCAACUGGGGAGGGUCAUUCGAUACUGAUCGACUGGAAGGCAGGAGAGGGAAGCGGAAUUCCCGGUGUAGUGGUGAAAUGCGUAGAUAUCGGGAGGAACACCAGUGGCGAAGGCGGCUUCCUGGCCUGUUCUUGACGCUGAGGCGCGAAAGCUAGGGGAGCAAACGGG